RNAcentral lists this ribosomal RNA (1162 nucleotides) under Bacillus sp. (in: firmicutes). Its description in RNAcentral is "bacterial SSU rRNA". It matches the Rfam family "Bacterial small subunit ribosomal RNA", at positions 24 to 1183 of the family's 1533-position model. The record is from RNAcentral. Lineage: Bacteria; Bacillati; Bacillota; Bacilli; Caryophanales; Bacillaceae.
ACGGGAAAAGGCUGGGUUUUAUUUACAUGCAGUCGAGCGGACCGACGGGAGCUUGCUCCCUUAGGUCAGCGGCGGACGGGUGAGUAACACGUGGGUAACCUGCCUGUAAGACUGGGAUAACUCCGGGAAACCGGGGCUAAUACCGGAUGCUUGAUUGAACCGCAUGGUUCAAUCAUGAAAGGCGGCUUCGGCUGCCGUUUACAGAUGGACCCGCGGCGCAUUAGCUAGUUGGUGAGGUAACGGCUCACCAAGGCGACGAUGCGUAGCCGACCUGAGAGGGUGAUCGGCCACACUGGGACUGAGACACGGCCCAGACUCCUACGGGAGGCAGCAGUAGGGAAUCUUCCGCAAUGGACGAAAGUCUGACGGAGCAACGCCGCGUGAGUGAUGAAGGUUUUCGGAUCGUAAAGCUCUGUUGUUAGGGAAGAACAAGUACCGUUCGAAUAGGGCGGUACCUUGACGGUACCUAACCAGAAAGCCACGGCUAACUACGUGCCAGCAGCCGCGGUAAUACGUAGGUGGCAAGCGUUGUCCGGAAUUAUUGGGCGUAAAGCGCGCGCAGGCGGUUUCUUAAGUCUGAUGUGAAAGCCCCCGGCUCAACCGGGGAGGGUCAUUGGAAACUGGGGAACUUGAGUGCAGAAGAGGAGAGUGGAAUUCCACGUGUAGCGGUGAAAUGCGUAGAGAUGUGGAGGAACACCAGUGGCGAAAGGCGACUCUCUGGUCUGUAACUGACGCUGAGGCGCGAAAGCGUGGGGAGCGAACAGGAUUAGAUACCCUGGUAGUCCACGCCGUAAACGAUGAGUGCUAAGUGUUAGAGGGUUUCCGCCCUUUAGUGCUGCAGCAAACGCAUUAAGCACCUCCGGCCUGGGGGAGUACGGUCGCAGGACUGAAACUCAAAGGAAUUGACGGGGGCCCGCCACAAGCGGUGGGAGCAUGUGGUUUAAUUCGAAGCACGCGAAGAACCUUUACCAGUCUGAACAUCCUCUGACAUCCCUAGAAGAAUAGGCUCCCCUCGGGGCAGAAGUGACAGUGAUGCAAUGAUGUCGUCAGCUCUGUCGUGAAUGUUUGGAUAGUCCCGCCAACGAGCGCAUCCAUGAUCUUAGUUGCCAGCAUCAGUGGCACUUCUAAGGUACUGCGGUACACGAAGAAGGUGGGAAUAAAU